UUUCCGUUAGCGGCGGCGGGAAUCUAGGUGCUGGCUGCCGACUAGGCCUCUGUGGAAGCGAAUCCGGCGGGAAUCUGAGCCAUCCGAGCCGCCACCAUGACGGUGGGCAAGAGCAGCAAGAUGCUGCAGCACAUCGACUACAGGAUGAGGUGCAUCCUGCAAGAUGGCCGGAUCUUCAUCGGGACCUUCAAAGCUUUUGACAAGCAUAUGAACUUGAUCCUCUGUGACUGUGAUGAGUUCAGGAAGAUCAAGUGUGAGGGGGGAGAGCUUGAUUUUCUGGCCUCAUUACCUAUUUGUAAAGCUGUAGCCUAAAGGGCUCUCCUAAUGCAGCCUGGUCUGAAACUGCUUUAAGAAGCCUCUGACCCUCUUCAGGGCCAAAGAACUCCAAACAAGCAGAAAGAGAAGAGAAGCGAGUCCUUGGUCUGGUGUUGCUUCGAGGAGAGAACCUGGUCUCCAUGACAGUAGAAGGACCUCCUCCCAAAGAUACUGGCAUUGCCCGAGUGCCACUUGCUGGAGCUGCUGGGGGGCCAGGCAUCGGCAGGGCUGCUGGCAGAGGAAUCCCGGCGGGUGUGCCCAUGCCCCAGGCUCCUGCAGGGCUUGCUGGACCAGUGCGAGGUGUUGGAGGGCCGUCCCAGCAGGUGAUGACCCCACAAGGAAGAGGCACUGUGGCAGCUGCUGCAGCUGCAGCCACAGCCAGUAUUGCAGGAGCCCCAACUCAGUACCCACCUGGUCGUGGGGGUCCUCCUCCACCUAUGGGCCGAGGGGCACCUCCU
Molecule: long non-coding RNA, 773 nt
Filed under: Rattus norvegicus (Norway rat)
Lineage: Eukaryota; Metazoa; Chordata; Mammalia; Rodentia; Muridae
Description: long non-coding RNA NONRATT019683
Source: RNAcentral